Salvia hispanica is the source of this 203-nucleotide non-coding RNA. Lineage: Eukaryota; Viridiplantae; Streptophyta; Magnoliopsida; Lamiales; Lamiaceae. The record is from RefSeq and is a predicted model, not a curated record.
AGAUUUUGUAUGAUGAUGAUGAAAUAGAGCUCUUGAAUCUGAUAAAAGAAAAAUUGAAACUGUUUCAUGAUGAGCAGUCUCCACAAAAACAAGUAACCGGUCAUUCAUCUCCAUCCAGAGAGCUUACCAAGACUAAAGAAAACAAAAGAAGAAAAGCAGACACGUUGAAGAAACAGCAACAGCAUGCUGCCUCUUCAUCUAAA